CUGGCGGGAUGCUUAAUACAUGCAAGUCGGACGGAGCUUUCGGGCUUAGUGGCGGACGGGUGAGUAACGCGUAGAUAACAUACCUUUUACUGGGGGAUAACAUCUGGAAACGGGUGCUAAUACCGCAUAAGUGCAGUUUUGAGAUAGAUUGUAUAAAAGAUUUAUUGGUAAGAGAUUGGUCUGCGUUGGAUUAGCUAGUUGGUGGGGUAAAGGCUUACCAAGGCGAUGAUCCAUAGUUGGUCUGAGAGGAUGACCAGCCACAGUGGGACUGAGACACGGCCCACACUCCUACGGGAGGCAGCAGUAGGGAAUAUUGCGCAAUGGGCGAAAGCCUGACGCAGCAAUCCCGCGUGGUGGAUGAAGGAUUUCGGUCUGUAAACACCUGUCGGUGGGGAAGAUAGUGACGGUACCCACAGAGGAAGCACCGGCUAACUACGUGCCAGCAGCCGCGGUAAUACGUAGGGUGCGAGCGUUGUCCGGAAUUAUUGGGCGUAAAGCGUCCGUAGGCGGUUAGAUAAGUUUGGCGUUAAAGGCGCGGGCUCAACCCGUGUAGUGCGUUGAAAACUGUCUGACUAGAGUAUAGUAGGGGAAGCUGGAAUUCUUGGUGUAGCGGUGAAAUGCGUAGAUAUCAAGAGGAACACCCGUAGCGAAAGCGGGCUUCUGGGCUAUUACUGACGCUAAUGGACGAAAGCCAAGGUAGCGAAAGGGAUUAGAUACCCCUGUAGUCUUGGCUGUAAACGAUGAGUAUUAGGUG
This 754-nucleotide ribosomal RNA is filed under the name uncultured cyanobacterium. RNAcentral describes it as "bacterial SSU rRNA". It matches the Rfam family "Bacterial small subunit ribosomal RNA", at positions 36 to 822 of the family's 1533-position model. The record is from RNAcentral. Lineage: Bacteria; Bacillati; Cyanobacteriota.